GGGCGUGUAGCUCAGCUGGUCAGAGCGCACGGUUCACAUCCGUGAGGCCACAGGUUCGAGUCCUGUCACGCCCACCA
This 77-nucleotide transfer RNA is filed under the name Chloroflexota bacterium. RNAcentral's name for it is "Chloroflexi bacterium tRNA-Val". It matches the Rfam family "tRNA". Rfam says of the family: Transfer RNA (tRNA) molecules are approximately 80 nucleotides in length. The record is from RNAcentral. Lineage: Bacteria; Bacillati; Chloroflexota.